AUAGCUGAUUGCACCAACAAAUAGUUGAUGCAAUAUUGACUCUGUCAAAUAAAAUUCUAGGUAGAAUUAUGAUAAUGACAUUGUCUGCCUAUAUGUCUUGACCAAAUUACGUGCCAGCAGUCGCGGUAAUACGUAGAAGACUAGUGUUAUUCAUCUUUAAUAGGUUUAAAGGGUACCUAGACGGUAAAUCAAGCCUUCACAGGGACUAAUUUACUAGAGUUACUUACGAGGGGGUAUUAAAGUACUGCAGGUGUAGAGAUGAAAUUCUGUCAUACCUCUUUUCAAAAGAAAAAUUAUGGCACAGGUAUAGGUGAAAGCAUCCCCUUAUGUGAUAACUGACGUUGAAGGACGAAGGCUUUGUGUCGCGAACAGGAUUAGAUACCCCAGUAGUCAAAGCAGAAAAUGAUGAAUGUCAUAGAUUAGAUAAAUAGUUUAUUCUAUAAAUGAAAAUGUAAGCAUUCCACCUCAAGAGUAAUUUGGCAACAUUGGAACUGAAAUCAUUAGACCGUUUCUGAAACCAGUAGUGAAGUAUGUUGUUUAAUUUGAUGAUCCGCAAAAAACCUUACCACAAUUUGAAUAUUUAUAUCUAUCUUUUUUUUUCGUAAAAAAAUAAAAAGGUAAUAUAUUUACAAGCGUUGCACGGCUGUCUUCAGUUAAUGUCGCGAGACUUUGGUUAGUUCCAUUAAAUUAACGUAAACCCUUACUUUAUUUUUAUAUGAAGUAGUUCCCCGCUAUAUUGGAUAUGAUAACA
Molecule: ribosomal RNA, 751 nt
Filed under: Lepraria neglecta
Lineage: Eukaryota; Fungi; Ascomycota; Lecanoromycetes; Lecanorales; Stereocaulaceae
Description: SSU rRNA
Rfam family: Bacterial small subunit ribosomal RNA
Source: RNAcentral